UGGGGAAUAUUGCGCAAUGGGCGAAAGCCUGACGCAGCAACGCCGCGUGUGGGAUGACAGCUUUCGGGUUGUAAACCACUUUCAGUGACGACGAAGAUGACGGUAGUCACAGAAGAAGGUCCGGCCAACUACGUGCCAGCAGCCGCGGUAACACGUAGGGACCGAGCGUUGUCCGGAUUUAUUGGGCGUAAAGAGCUCGUAGGCGGUUUCGUAAGUCGGAUGUGAAAACUCAGGGCUCAACCCGGAGACGCCAUCUGAUACUGCGAUGACUGGAGUCCGGUAGGGGAGCAUGGAAUUCCUGGUGUAGCGGUGGAAUGCGCAGAUAUCAGGAGGAACACCAAUGGCGAAGGCAGUGCUCUGGGCCGGUACUGACGCUGAGGAGCGAAAGCAUGGGUAGCGAACAGGAUUAGAUACCCACGUAGUCCCUGAGCGGGCUGGCAAGGCGCAU
This 448-nucleotide ribosomal RNA is filed under the name uncultured bacterium. RNAcentral describes it as "bacterial SSU rRNA". It matches the Rfam family "Bacterial small subunit ribosomal RNA", at positions 355 to 825 of the family's 1533-position model. The record is from RNAcentral.